GUGGUACUGAAAAGAUCUUGGAGGUGGUGUCCUGGCCAGACAUCCACCCAACAUAUAUGUUAUCAUCUCUUGGUGACUCAGAAAGUCUUUGAUCAAAACAAGAUGAAGAUGAAAAAAUUUUUAAUAUUUCAUCAUUGGAGUCAUCUUUGAUUGAUAGAUAAUCAAUAUAAAUACAUGUUUGAGUGUGACAUGAUUCCAUACUCAUGAACAUAUUCAAAGUGCAGGGA
RNAcentral lists this long non-coding RNA (227 nucleotides) under Elaeis guineensis (African oil palm). RNAcentral's name for it is "long non-coding RNA (EGUI_LNC046303)". The record is from RNAcentral. Lineage: Eukaryota; Viridiplantae; Streptophyta; Magnoliopsida; Arecales; Arecaceae.